CAAGUGGCUCUCUGUGUGCUGAGAAGAGUAAAAUUCUUUAUCUCCUGCACACGUUGUUUCAUGCGUCUGUGAUCAUGUUACUUAACUUUGUUAAACAGUAGCCUGCACGCGCACAACGCAUCACCCUGUUCUACCUCCUUCUAGCAGGACCGCGUCACCUAAUCCCACUCAUUUCAGCCCCGCACACUCUGCAUCUGUGCGCGUGGCGCGCAGACUCACCGCUGUCGGAUCUUCUCGGAAGACCUUGGCUUUUACCUUCCUGCCAGCACUAAAGCUUUUCUUUUGCCCUAGGUUCUGGGUGGCCUAAUGUGAGCAUCAGAGCACUAGCUCUUUGCUAAGUGACCAGAAGAUGAACCAUUAACUACUAUCAGAUGAUCCAAAGCUCAAAUGGAUUUUGAACCCCAGCCCAGGGAAAGCAAUCUAUCUUGGCACUCAGUCACAAAACAAAAGACGUGUAGAAUUACAUGUGCUGAUAUGGCAGAUGUUUGUAAAACAAUAGUUUGACCUGCAAUCUAAGGAUGUUACUGCAAUACCAGAAAAAAAAAUCUGCUGAAAACAGAAUUGCCUCACACACAGCACUGUCUUCUGCGUGUGCACCUGUGAUGUGAACCCAAAGGAAGAAUCUGGACUCCGUUCCCGAAUCCACACUCACUUUAGAUUAUUGGUGAGUGGGUGCAGAUGUUCUGACGUUUUCAUAAUUCCUGCCCAGGCCCCAUUUCUGACCAGCCACCGCCCCUCGUCCACACUUUAUUUAGGGCCAAACGUGUUUGUCUUUCCUUCUAUUUUAUCAUCCCCGCCAGCCCCCAGCACCUGGACCUGGGGUCAGGUAGUAACUGCACCGGGGGAGUGAGGAGUCACAGUGGGACAGAGCAGGAGUCUGUGAAGCCUGCAUGUCUUCACGCAACUCAGAGUGGGAGCGGCCGACGCUGGGCUCCUGGGCGUGUCUGGUUCUGAGGGGCCCUGGGAGCAGCUGUCCGGCAGCACCAUCUCGACGACUGUGCGACGCAGUAUUUCCAGCAGGGCGAGGGGUGGAGGGACACCCCUGAGGCUAUCUGCUGUCCAGGGGGUGGGGAUCAUCACAUCACCGGUGCUCAGAGUGAAGACCCCUUGUCAGGGGGUCUCAGCACGGAGCCCAGGGACCCACGGAGCAAGGAGGCUUCGGAAGUUAGAUUCCUUCAAGGCUCUUUGUUACACUGAAACAUGUAUUUCUUUCCUGGCCCCUUCCCACACGAUGAAAGCACAAAACUGUUCUAGCUGACGCAACUUUUCAGCUGCCCCGUGGUAGGUGGCAUGCUGGCCGGAAAGCAUCAAGCCGAGGGAAGGAAGGUGCUUCAGCCCCCGUCAGCCUAGGGCCCCCGUCAGACGAGGGCUCAGGCUGCUUUAAGCUCUAAUUAAAACACGUUUCUCUGGGAACGUACGUCUAACCUGCUCGGUCAGGCUGACGAAAUCCCUCCAGCAAGCUGCUCUUCACCUGUUGGUUUCCAAGACGGGCACGCAUUGAUGGGUACCUCCCUCGGGGUCCUGCCACCGCCUUUGCCUCCACGUGUUUCCAGCGAGGACCCUCCGGCAACAGGGCACGUCUAAGCACAGAAUUUGAAUAAUGCAUCAUAGAGUCACAAACUGUAAUCUACAGUGCAUAAUAUACCGUUGAAUUAUAAAUUGUUCAUCUUUGUUAGUAAGACCAUUUCUAUUUCAUAGAAUUGGGAAGAAAUGUAGUGCAGAUUUCAGGACUGAAAAUUGGAAAUCAGAGGUGGGUUCCAGGUUUAACUGUGCUUUGAGUUAAUCAUAUGAACCAAGUCGAGUUUCCUUGUGUUUGCUCCCCACGGUGUACUGUUUUCACUCGUACCUGCUGGUAAAGAAGGGCUAAUGAGAUGCAGGAGCAGGUCCGUCUCGGUCUGGAUUUUGUGCUCGGCGAGCAAGACAGCAUACAUUUCUCCUAGGCCUUUAUCUUUCCUUGUGAGAACAGGGUCGUUAAAUUUUAAAUAUCCUUCAAGGUUUUAUACAUAAGAAUCCUCAAGUUGGUGUGUGUAUUUGAAAACAUGACACACUGUGGCCCUUGUCACAGUUUAACCCAGCCGGCGCUCUCCUUUUACUUUUAAGUUCAUCUCCAGUUGCACAUGAGAGUCCGGGAAAGAUCAUGAACUAUUUGCAGCCUCUCUUGGCAGGUCUCCGGGGAUGUGUCCACUGGAGUCGGAUUACAGAACCUGGAACCGCGUUAGAGGUGAAGGGCUCCCUUCAGAGAACUUCUUUAGAGCUCUCUUCCCUCAUCAUUAAGAACCAGUCCAGCCUCACAGCCACUUCACAUUCCUGCUGAAUGUAGCCCAUUUGUGAAGCACCCUACACUGAAGUAUCUUUGAAUUGAUUUUGAGUUUAUUGAGAAUUUCUAACAGAAUUAGCACAUCUUUUCUGCAGUGUUCAUGCUACAACACAUCCAAUGACAGCAAAUUCACAGAUGUUAUUUUAUAACAUAGAAUCUGUAAUGGGUUCAGAGUAAACAAAACAGAAGCCACUCGUUCAUAUCUAAUGGGAAUAUGCUGUUUGUUUUCUCUUAAUUGCCCACUUUGUUACUUUUAAUUCAUUAAA
This is a non-coding RNA of Vicugna pacos (alpaca), 2583 nucleotides long. The record is from RefSeq and is a predicted model, not a curated record. Lineage: Eukaryota; Metazoa; Chordata; Mammalia; Artiodactyla; Camelidae.